UGGGGAAUAUUGGACAAUGGGCGCAAGCCUGAUCCAGCCAUGCCGCGUGCAGGAUGACGGUCCUAUGGAUUGUAAACUGCUUUUGUACAGGAAGAAACACUGGUUCGUGAACCAGCUUGACGGUACUGUAAGAAUAAGGAUCGGCUAACUCCGUGCCAGCAGCCGCGGUAAUACGGAGGAUCCAAGCGUUAUCCGGAAUCAUUGGGUUUAAAGGGUCCGUAGGCGGUUUAGUAAGUCAGUGGUGAAAGCCCAUCGCUCAACGGUGGAACGGCCAUUGAUACUGCUAAACUUGAAUUAUUAGGAAGUAACUAGAAUAUGUAGUGUAGCGGUGAAAUGCUUAGAGAUUACAUGGAAUACCAAUUGCGAAGGCAGGUUACUACUAAUGGAUUGACGCUGAUGGACGAAAGCGUGGGUAGCGAACAGGAUUAGAUACCCUGGUAGUCCACGCCGUAAACGAUGGAUACUAGCUGUUGGAAGCAAUUUCAGUGGCUAAGCGAAAGUGAUAAGUAUCCCACCUGGGGAGUACGUUCGCAAGAAUG
RNAcentral lists this ribosomal RNA (539 nucleotides) under uncultured bacterium. Its description in RNAcentral is "bacterial SSU rRNA". It matches the Rfam family "Bacterial small subunit ribosomal RNA", at positions 355 to 896 of the family's 1533-position model. The record is from RNAcentral.